Molecule: unclassified non-coding RNA, 148 nt
Organism: Macaca fascicularis (crab-eating macaque)
Lineage: Eukaryota; Metazoa; Chordata; Mammalia; Primates; Cercopithecidae
Rfam family: Metazoan signal recognition particle RNA
About the family: The signal recognition particle (SRP) is a universally conserved ribonucleoprotein. It is involved in the co-translational targeting of proteins to membranes.
Source: Ensembl
GCCGGGCGUGGCGGUGCACGCCUGUAAUCCCAGCUACUCGGGAGGCUGAGGCAGGAGAAUCACUUGAACCCGGGAGGCAGAGGCUACAGUGAGCCAAGGUCAUACCACUGUACUCCAGCCUGGGCAACAAAAUGAGACUCUGUCUCAA